UGGCUCUCGCAUCGAUGAAGAACGCAGCGAAAUGCGAUACGUAAUGUGAAUUGCAGAAUUUUGUGAAUCAUCAAAUCUUUGAACGCAUAUUGCACUCUCUGGUAUUCCGGAGAGUACACCUGUUUCAGUAUCAAAAAUGUCAUCCAAAGUUUUGCUUUGUUUGUUUUUCAGACAAAGCUAAAUCUAAUGGGAUUUGGGCUUCGCAGGAUUUUUUAGUUCCGCUGGCCUUAAAUAUUUUUUAGCCAUUAAAAAGUCUUUGUGCGAUAAGGCGUAAUAGUUGGUACUUUUGGUUCCAUUCUUUCGCUGAAGCCUGUCUUUUUUUAAAACUCUGGCUCAACAAAUAUGGAAAAAUGAAAUAUGUAUUGUAUAUUUCAUUAUUGUUUAGAUCUGAAAUCAGGUGGGACUACCCGCUGA
RNAcentral lists this unclassified non-coding RNA (414 nucleotides) under uncultured fungus. Its description in RNAcentral is "partial contains 5.8S ribosomal RNA and internal transcribed spacer 2". The stretch from base 1 to 133 matches the Rfam family "5.8S ribosomal RNA", at positions 22 to 154 of the family's 154-position model. The record is from RNAcentral. Lineage: Eukaryota; Fungi.